AUGGGGGAGCAGGAGAAACGUCCUUGGAUUAUUAAUGGGGACUUCAACCUUGUCAGACACGAGGACGAGAGAAGCACAGGAAGGGUCAACAGAAGAUUGACGAACAAGUUCAGGCAUACUAUUAACAAGCUGGGGCUUCAUGAGAUGCCUCUAGUGGGAAGAAAAUUCACUUGGUGCAAUGGGCAGGAGAGAAACAUCUUGGCAAAACUUGACAGGGUGUUGUUCAACAAUUCAUGGGAGGACUUGUACCCCAUUAGCGACCUUCUACCUUUGAGCUCAAAUGUUUCAGACCACUGCCCUAUGCUGCUUUCAUGCUCUCUAGACAGGCCGAGGGCUUUCAGAUUCAGGUUCGAGAAUUUUUGGUGCAAACUGUCGGGUUUUCUCGAGGUGGUGAAAACAGCUUGGGAAGAGGAGGUUUCCAGCACCAAUCCAAUGCAUGUUCUCAACACAAAGCUUCAUCGCACAGCCAAAGCGCUCCGGAGUUGGGGUCAGAGAAAUCAGAGUGCAAUGAACAUUCAGUUUCAGAUCGCCAACGAAAUGAUCCUUCGCUUGGACACUGCACAGGAGUCACGACAAUUGUCCGCUGAAGAAAGAAAGUUGAGAGCCUUUUUGAAAGGCAAGUUCCUGGCUCUAGCAUCCUUGGAAAGGAUUCGUUUGAGACAGAGAGCCAAAAUUAGAGAUUUGAGAGAGGGGGAUGCUAACUCCAAGUACUUCCACCUCAAAGCUAAUGGACGCAGAAGGAAGCACCUCAUCCCAUGCCUUCAAGCUAGAGACCGGAUGGCGUCCUCUAUGGAGGAGAAACUGGAUAUGGUGCACGAUUUCUACCGAAAUCUGCUUGGUGUCCCAGCUGCUAGACACAAGAUCUUGAAGUUAGAUUGUCUCGGCCUUGGAAAGAUAUCUACGGCAGUGGCACGUGACUUGGAGGCUCCUUUUUCCAGUGAGGAGAUCAAAAAGGUGGUGAAUGACAUGCCCCCAGAUCGGGCACCGGGACCGGAUGGAUUUUUUGGUCUUUUCUAUAAGACUUGCUGGGAGAUCAUUGAACAUGACUUUAUGGCAGUUAUGGAGGCACUGCAACAGGGUCAUUUCUCUUCCUUUGGUGGGCUGAACACAUCCAUCCUCACUCUGUUUCCUAAGAAAGUAGAUUCAAUGCAGAUCACUAAUUUCAGGCCUAUCAAUUUAAUUCACGGCGUGGCCAAAAUCUUCGGCAAGGUGCUGGCGAUCCGUUUGGCCCCGGUGCUGCCCGGGAUCAUAUCCAGUGUGCAAAGCGCUUUUGUUUCAGAGAGAAGCAUCCAUGAGAACUUCAAAUUGGUAAGAAACGCGGCCAGAACAUUACAUUGGAAGAAGAAACAGUCGGUUUUAAUGAAGAUCGAUAUAUCCAAGGCGUUUGACUAUCUCUCUUGGGAAUUUCUCUUGGAUAUAUUGAAGGCCAGAGGCUUUGGUAGAAAGUGGUGUUCCUGA
RNAcentral lists this ribosomal RNA (1458 nucleotides) under Triticum aestivum (bread wheat). RNAcentral describes it as "partial small subunit ribosomal RNA". The record is from RNAcentral. Lineage: Eukaryota; Viridiplantae; Streptophyta; Magnoliopsida; Poales; Poaceae.